GAUGAACGCUGGCUGCGUGCCUAAUACAUGCAAGUCGAGCGAACGGACGAGAAGCUUGCUUCUCUGAUGUUAGCGGCGGACGGGUGAGUAACACGUGGAUAACCUACCUAUAAGACUGGGAUAACUUCGGGAAACCGGAGCUAAUACCGGAUGAUAUUUUGAACCGCAUGGUUCAAAAGUGAAAGACGGUCUUGCUGUCACUUAUAGAUGGAUCCGCGCUGCAUUAGCUAGUUGGUAAGGUAACGGCUUACCAAGGCAACGAUGCAUAGCCGACCUGAGAGGGUGAUCGGCCACACUGGAACUGAGACACGGUCCAGACUCCUACGGGAGGCAGCAGUAGGGAAUCUUCCGCAAUGGGCGAAAGCCUGACGGAGCAACGCCGCGUGAGUGAUGAAGGUCUUCGGAUCGUAAAACUCUGUUAUUAGGGAAGAACAUAUGUGUAAGUAACUGUGCACAUCUUGACGGUACCUAAUCAGAAAGCCACGGCUAACUACGUG
This 497-nucleotide ribosomal RNA is filed under the name uncultured bacterium. RNAcentral describes it as "partial 16S ribosomal RNA". It matches the Rfam family "Bacterial small subunit ribosomal RNA", at positions 28 to 507 of the family's 1533-position model. The record is from RNAcentral.